This 1249-nucleotide long non-coding RNA is filed under the name Rattus norvegicus (Norway rat). Its description in RNAcentral is "long non-coding RNA NONRATT000321". Lineage: Eukaryota; Metazoa; Chordata; Mammalia; Rodentia; Muridae. The record is from RNAcentral.
UUUUUUUUUUUUUUUUUUUGGUUUGGUUAUUUGGUUUGGUUUUCGUUUCUCCUUUUAACGAGCUGUCACCAUGAAUGUAUUCAAACAUUUUCUUGCAGCCUGGUUUAUAUCUAUUUCCAUAUAUUGGGAACCACACACAUAGUUUUCAUGUGAAAUCAGAUCCUUUAUCAGGCAUUUCAAACUUGAGCUCCUCAUCUAUGAUUUUGUUUCCUGGGCAGCAGCAGUGAUUUCUGGGUAAUUUUUAGGGGGAUGUUUUGUUUUUAUGUACCCAUAAAUCAGUGUAUCUUUAGUAAGAACAACACAUGUCUAAGUUUAAAAAGGUUUAGCAGGGAUUGGGGCAUAACUUGCUGGCAAGUUAAAGGUUAUAGGUUCAGAUCCCCAGCACCCAUGUAAAAACUGGAUGUGGUAGCCUAUAUGUAACCUUAACAGUGAGAUGCUGUGAAGGGUAGGUCCCUAGGGCCCAGUGGCCAGACAGACUUGAAAAACAAAAAGGCCAGAUUCAGUGAAAGACUGUCUCAAACAGGAAAGUGUAAAGUAACAGAGGAAGGCAUACAAAGUCAACUUCUGGCCUGUGUAUGCACAUACAUGAAUAUGCAUGCACAUACACACAUGCAUACCUAAUAAUAAUAAAAACAAUUGAAAUAAAUAAAAAUGAAAACAAAAGGCUUUAUUUAGUCAUAAUGGUAAAUUUGACCAAUGGUGUGACUUGUGCUUUCUGUAGCAUUUUGUAGUACUUGAACGCAUUGCACCCAUAAUUAGGAAGUAAGGCUGUGAACUUUCUCAAGAGUGUGAUUCCCCAUUUAGGUUACCACACAUUAAAAGACUUUGCUCUUACUUCUGGUUAUUAAUGAACUCAGGAAGCAAGUUCUCAUCUGGGUGCGCUGCCUUAGCUUGGUCACAAUAUGUUUGUCACUGGGCUUCAGUGGCUAGCCCUUUGGGAAGGUAUAAUUGAAAUAUAUAAUUUCUUUAAGGAAAUUUGACUUAGCAUUGGUAAAAAGGCUGUCUAACCUUGGAAACAAGUGCUUGAGUAGCAGACCCAACACUAUAAAGUGAGAGCUGUCCAAUCUUGUCUCUUUUGUUGCAAUUAACCUUUUAUUUAGUCCUAAGAAGAUUUCUGCAUUUUUAAUCAAGUUUUUCUGAUUUAAAAAUUCUUCUGUUAACAGUAAAUUAAGCCCCCAUAUAUGAAUAUUCUGCCACAUAAGUGCAUAUCUGGACUUCCUUAUAUUCCUUGUGUUGGACAGAACAUGUU